This is an RNA transcript of Daphnia magna, 1528 nucleotides long. RefSeq lists it as uncharacterized. The transcript has 7 exons. The record is from RefSeq and is a predicted model, not a curated record. Lineage: Eukaryota; Metazoa; Arthropoda; Branchiopoda; Diplostraca; Daphniidae.
GAAUAUCUCAUAACACUACUUUUUAAUUUUUGACGGAAUCAAUUUUCUAUGCCGAUUAACACAGCAUUAAAAAAUUAUGGAACAAAAAAAGGAACUUUCUUAUUGGAAAUGCAAAUCUUAAAUGCUAUCCUACCAAAUUCUGUAAUAGUGACAUUAAAAAAUUCACGAGCAUGCCCUUAAAAUCAAAUGCUUACGUGGUUUGUGUUUUUAAAGUAAAUCUUGUCAUUUUCUACCCAUGAGUAAUUAAUUCUUAGCGUUUCGUCGAUUUCUUCAAUCUCCCCCCAUAUCGAAGGUGCAUUUGCAUUCAUCCUAGACCUGUAAACUAAGAAAAAGAAAUAACGGUUUGUAGAAAAUUGCUGUUGCCGGGAACUUAGAUAGUAAUUUCCCGGGUAAAAACCCCAAUGUUUUCGGGAGUCUCAACUUCAAUUUACCUCUGUCGAACACUGAUUAAUGGCCGUUCCAAGAACAGGAUGUCAAUAGUCGUGCUGGAUAUUUCGAAAAUGUCUUACAACCUGUGCAUUAAGGAAUUCUUCGGAAAGGCGAAGGAAGAGUGGCCAUGCUUAUAAAGGAAGAAUAGGUCCCGAUCUGGUGUUGGCUGAGAAACUAUGGACUUGGAUUUGUUAAAGAAAUUUUCUCAAAUUAAACAGUUCCAAAAUUAGCGCGAGGAGAAAACUAUCUGAAAAUCAUAGGGGAUUGUCGGUGUUCGUGUGAAUUUUUGGGGUCUGUAUUGGAUUCCAAUUUUCCGAAAUCUUGUGCUAUGCAUAACACGAGAAAAAAAAGGAAACUGCUUAGAGUGAAACAAGGCAUUUAUGUAUGUGCAUAGAAUGCUCAAAUGGAUUGCCAUUUGUCUUAUUCGAAGGUUAAUCUUCUUUUUUUUUACCAUCUUGUGUUAUGAAAUGCGUACCAGAAGGAAAAGGCUGGACUCGAGUUGGUAAAUUUUUUUUUUCGUCCCUUAAAGUUUGAGGUGGUGCCGUACCGCCACGUCAUUCGAUUUUAAUAGUAUAAACAUUAGAUGAACUCUUCGAGUUCAUCUAUCAUUGAUACAGAAUCAAACAACCAACCUAAAGGAAACGAAGAAGUAAGCAAUAUUCCCCAUCAACGAUGUCUUUUUACUUCAUUUGGAUCUCAUGUGAUCUAUGUAAUGAUCUAUGUAAUGAACAUCAUGACGAAUCAAGGUGAUAAUCUUAUCGUCGCUUACGAAGCCACGAAUGAAACCAACCAUAAACUCGUUCGAAGAUUUGGCCGCAGAUAAAGAAGUUUCGAUACUUCUUAGGCAUGACACGGUGAUGGGAGAACAAAUAUUGAAAGCGACCUCUGGUGUUUAUAAUCUUGGAAUCUUGGAGACCAAGGCCGUAGAAACUCUGAUCGUUAUUGUUGGCGAUCCGUUGAAGUUAAACGCGAUGUUGGAAACCGGCCGAUAUGCUUAUCCGUCUCUUUCAACAUCUGGACUUGGAAUGCUGACGUUUUUGUUGGAACAGAUAUAUUAAAACUACGAAAAGCACAAACAUCGUUAGCUUCCGCUAAUAAU